Molecule: ribosomal RNA, 440 nt
Filed under: uncultured bacterium
Lineage: Bacteria
Description: partial 16S ribosomal RNA
Rfam family: Bacterial small subunit ribosomal RNA
Source: RNAcentral
CCUACGGGAGGCAGCAGUGGGGAAUAUUGCACAAUGGGGGGAACCCUGAUGCAGCGACGCCGCGUGAGUGAAGAAGUAUUUCGGUAUGUAAAGCUCUAUCAGCAGGGAAGAAAAUGACGGUACCUGACUAAGAAGCCCAGGCUAACUACGUGCCAGAAGCCGCGGGAAUACGUAGGGGGAAAGCGUUAUCCGGAUUUAAUGGGUGGAAAGGGAGCGUAGACGGUUAUGCAAGUCUGAAGUGAAAGCCCAAGGCUCAACCAUGGGACUGAUUUGGAAACUGUAAAACUGGAGUGAAGGAGAGGUAAGCGGAAUUCCUAGUGUAGCGGUGAAAUGCGUAGAUAUUAGGAGGAACACCAGUGGCGAAGGCGGCUUACUGGACUGUAACUGACGUUGAGGCUCGAAGGCGUGGGGAGCAAACAGGAUUAGAUACCCGAGUAGUC